UGCAAGUCAGCAAAACUGGGUGAAUGUCGGCGAAUUGGGUAAUUGGUCGUGGCUUUGGAACUGUCAUUAGACAUCGUGACUUCGAAGAGAGAUCUAACUUCUAUGAUGCUUUCUUGCUGCUGAUCACGUGCCAUUCUGGAAGGAAAGGGAUCCAUUCUUUGCCAAGGACCUCCAGUGAUGCAUAUAACUGACUUGACCACGCGUUUGCAAAAUUUUAAUUAUACUGGAUUUUGUUUCUUAUUUGAAGCUUAGAAAGUGUAACUCAAGUCUAAACUGUUUUCUUAUGUUUCAUAUUAUUGGCAUGCGCCAAGAAAGCCAAAGAUUUCAUGCCUUUCCUGCAUAGAAGUAGAAGAGUUCCUGCUGUAGUGGAAUAUGUCGUCAGUGGCACCAGUUUCAAGUGUCUGAUUGCCUAAAGGAACUUGCGUAUUCAAUUUGCAAUUUCUCUGAUUCAGAGUCCUGGUCGUGAGAGCCAUAUUUAUGAGCAAUUCUGCAUAGCGGGAGAAAUGCAAGAGAUGUGAGUAAUUUAGUUGCCUUUCUGAGCUAGAUUCCUGAGUCCGGGUGAGUUUAUUUUACGUUAAAAUUUUAAUUCUGGAAAAAAAAAAAAAAAAAAAAAAAAAAAAAGAUUGAGUAGAAACUGUUCGAUAGACUGGAACAUUCUUGGGAUCCUUUGGGAUCGAAACAACGGGGUUUCGGUGCGCUACUNNNNNNNNNNNNNNNNNNNNNNNNNUUAUUUCUGAAAUUUUUCAGGUGGUUGAAGGUGUGAGUGGAGAUUGCGUCCAUUGUAUGCUUGAUGAUUCUAUUUCCAUAUGGCAGCCGCACAAGCUGAAGAGGCAGUUAACCUUUCAAGUAUUAGGUGUCCAAAAAUGGGCAUCCUCGUCGAGUGAAAAAAACCAGCUCCUAUGGCACGUGACAAGCAAAGAAUUCUUGAGAACACGCCUCCAAUCGGUCAUCAAGUACGAAGAUAUCUGUGGGACCUUCUUUUAAUAUCAUUGAUGAUUUUAGCUACAAUUGAUUCCUCUAUUUUCAGGUGAAUGUACAAAUGGAAUAUUCUAGGAAGGUUGGUCCAGUGAUGCAGCUGGAGCUCCAUUGGGAGCUGGUGAUAGAGUAAUGGAUUUUGGAUCAGUCUUCCUAUUGUCUCAGGAAAGCUGACAAUGACCAAGCCCCUUCAGCUGCUGCUCCUGCAAGUCAGCAAAACUGGGUUGAAUGUCGGCGAAUUGGUAAUUGGUCGUGGCUUUGGAACUGUCAUUAGACAUCGUGACUUCGAAGAGAGAUCUACAUUCUAUGAUGCUCUUCUUGCCUUGCUGAAUCACGUGCCAUUUCUGGAAGGAAAGGAUCCAUUCUUGCCAAGGAUCCUCCAGUGAUGCAUAUAACUGACUUGACCACG
Molecule: long non-coding RNA, 1384 nt
Filed under: Lathyrus oleraceus (garden pea)
Lineage: Eukaryota; Viridiplantae; Streptophyta; Magnoliopsida; Fabales; Fabaceae
Description: Pisum sativum (pea) long non-coding RNA (PSAT_LNC033992)
Source: RNAcentral